GCCCCACUGGCCUAAUGGUUAAGGCGUAUGACUUCUAAUCAUAAGAUUUCGGGUUCGAAUCCCGAGUGGGGUU
This 73-nucleotide transfer RNA is filed under the name Rosellinia necatrix. RNAcentral describes it as "tRNA-Arg". It matches the Rfam family "tRNA". From Rfam's summary of the family: Transfer RNA (tRNA) molecules are approximately 80 nucleotides in length. Their secondary structure includes four short double-helical elements and three loops (D, anti-codon, and T loops). The record is from RNAcentral. Lineage: Eukaryota; Fungi; Ascomycota; Sordariomycetes; Xylariales; Xylariaceae.